RNAcentral lists this ribosomal RNA (617 nucleotides) under uncultured bacterium. RNAcentral's name for it is "bacterial SSU rRNA". It matches the Rfam family "Bacterial small subunit ribosomal RNA", at positions 8 to 421 of the family's 1533-position model. The record is from RNAcentral.
AGAGUUUGAUCCUGGCUCAGAACGAACGCUGGCGGCACGCCUAACACAUGCAAGUCGAACGAGGGCAUUUCUUCGGAGAUGUUCCUAGUGGCGGACGGGUGAGUAACGCGUGGGAAUCUGCCUGAUAGAGGGGGAUAACUGUUGGAAACGACAGCUAAUACCCCAUACGCUGAAGAGAAGCAAAGAGAAAAAACACACGAGUUUUAUGGAUGUCGAGUUAUAUUUCUGAAUCGCUACGCUGCGCUCGCGAUGAGACGCAGGAGGGUGUCAUGCCACAGAUCCGAAGGGGAGUGGCCAUUCAGAACUAUUCGUCCCAAAAGAACAGAAUCGCCCAGGGAUUUUUGUGACGUCUCCGGGAGGGGAGAUCGUGAAGUGUUUUGUUCUUUUUUCUUCUCUUCAGGAAAGAUUUAUCGCUAUCAGAUGAGCCCGCGUCAGAUUAGGUAGUUGGUGAGGUAAAGGCUCACCAAGCCAAUGAUCUGUAGCUGGUCUGAGAGGAUGGCCAGCCACACUGGGACUGAGACACGGCCCAGACUCCUACGGGAGGCAGCAGUGGGGAAUCUUGGACAAUGGGGGCAACCCUGAUCCAGCGAUGCCGCGUGAAUGAAGAAGGCCUUAGG